This 119-nucleotide ribosomal RNA is filed under the name Triticum aestivum (bread wheat). The record is from RNAcentral. Lineage: Eukaryota; Viridiplantae; Streptophyta; Magnoliopsida; Poales; Poaceae.
GGAUGCGAUCAUACCAGCACUAAAGCACCAGAUCCCAUUAGAACUCCGAAGUUAAGCGUGCUUGGGCGAGAGUAGUACUAGGAUGGGUGACCUCCUGGGAAGUCCUCGUGUUGCCUUCC